This 319-nucleotide unclassified non-coding RNA is filed under the name Hevea brasiliensis (rubber tree). Lineage: Eukaryota; Viridiplantae; Streptophyta; Magnoliopsida; Malpighiales; Euphorbiaceae. The record is from RNAcentral.
UACCGGGUGGUCCCGGCAGAUUCAGACAGGGUUUCACGUGCCCCGCCCUACUCAGGAUACAUCUAUGAGAUUUUAUGAUUUCGUAUACAGGAAUAUCACCUUCUAUGUUGAAGCUUUCCAACUUCUUCUACUAUCAUAAAAUUUUGUAACUCAAUGUAAGAUGUCCUACAACCCCUUUUUACAGGUUUGGGCUCUUUCGCUUUCGCUCGCCACUACUGACGAAAUCAUUAUUUAUUUUCUUUUCCUGUUGCUACUAAGAUGUUUCAAUUCGCAACGUGUCUCGCUAAUUUGACUAUGGAUUCAUCAAAAUGCAACUGAG